This 63-nucleotide transfer RNA is filed under the name Bambusiphaga taibaishana. RNAcentral's name for it is "tRNA-Leu". It matches the Rfam family "tRNA". From Rfam's summary of the family: Transfer RNA (tRNA) molecules are approximately 80 nucleotides in length. Their secondary structure includes four short double-helical elements and three loops (D, anti-codon, and T loops). Lineage: Eukaryota; Metazoa; Arthropoda; Insecta; Hemiptera; Delphacidae. The record is from RNAcentral.
UCUAAUAUGGCAGAAUAGUGUAAUGAAUUUAAAAUUCAUAAAUGAAGUUUAUUUCUUUUAGAA